UGCUUUGCUGCCGCGCGCCUUUAAAUGACUGUCAAGUAGGCAAAUAUCAAAUAGCAUGAGGUCAAGCCAAUUUGGGAACGCUUUUUUUUCUUCAGCCCCCUCGCUCUGCUUAUCACUCUGCCCUCAUUCUUACUGGCUGGGUACUGUGUGCAUGGCAUGGUGGAAUGCGGGUAGUUGAACAGUAGGCUGGGGAGGACAGCAUUCACUCAAUGUGCUACACUCAUAACCUUUCCAUUUGUGAAUAUGAGCCAUGCAGAAGAAUAACUAGCUGUUAUGUCCCCCAUUUCAGGUAAAGAGGGAAACCGGUGCACGCGCGCACCAACAUCAGCAUCUGAUGAAGUCCCCGAGAAGGGUGGAGAUGAACUGGCCUUUCUGAUCAAAGCACCCUCUAAUGCUCGAGGCUGGCCCCGCAUAGUUCCCCCCCUCUCCUUCUAUCUCUCACUCUUCCUCACACCUUUCUCAGAUUCAUCCCUCUGUCCCCUCAUCCUCCUCUUUCUCCUCUGUGUACGACUGACCCUGGUCCCUCAGAUGAGGUCACCAUCUCUCCCUCUCUCAUACCCAUCACUGACUCUCAUACUCUCAUCCCUCCCUCCAUCCCUCUCUCCUCUCCUAUUUAGAUGGAGGGGGCUUUGGUGA
RNAcentral lists this long non-coding RNA (636 nucleotides) under Oncorhynchus kisutch (coho salmon). RNAcentral's name for it is "lncRNA (ENSOKIG00005028783.1)". Lineage: Eukaryota; Metazoa; Chordata; Actinopteri; Salmoniformes; Salmonidae. The record is from RNAcentral.